This 253-nucleotide ribosomal RNA is filed under the name uncultured bacterium. RNAcentral's name for it is "partial 16S ribosomal RNA". It matches the Rfam family "Bacterial small subunit ribosomal RNA", at positions 524 to 776 of the family's 1533-position model. The record is from RNAcentral.
UACGUAGGUGGCAAGCGUUGUCCGGAUUUACUGGGCGUAAAGCGCGCGCAGGCGGCUCGUCAAGCCUGACGUGAAAGCCCCCGGCUCAACCGGGGAGGGUCGUCGGGGACUGGCGGGCUUGAGGUCGGCAGGGGCUGGUGGAAUUCCCGGUGUAGUGGUGAAAUGCGUAGAGAUCGGGAGGAACACCCGUGGCGAAGGCGGCCAGCUGGGCCGGACCUGACGCUGAGGCGCGAAGGCGUGGGGAGCGAACGGG